This 262-nucleotide long non-coding RNA is filed under the name Homo sapiens (human). Its description in RNAcentral is "HSALNT0271191". Lineage: Eukaryota; Metazoa; Chordata; Mammalia; Primates; Hominidae. The record is from RNAcentral.
AGAACGAUGACACAGGGAUAACAAAGGGAAAUACCAGGGAAUGUCAAGUCAAACAAAUCGUAGAUCUUCUCUGGCGGCUUCUUUGACCUUGUUCUGACAGUGAACACCGUGUACAUCAAGGAAGAUAAUUACAACUUUUUCAAGUCUUCUAAAAUCGAGUAAGUUUUCUGUUUUUUUUUCCUUUGCAGUAUCCAGGGAUUUUGUUUGUUUGUUUAUUGCCACAUAUGGUUUCUGUUUCAAGGUCUAAGAGCAUCAUAUCAAG